This is a long non-coding RNA of Camarhynchus parvulus, 684 nucleotides long. RefSeq lists it as uncharacterized. The transcript has 4 exons. Lineage: Eukaryota; Metazoa; Chordata; Aves; Passeriformes; Thraupidae. The record is from RefSeq and is a predicted model, not a curated record.
CGUGCCCGCCCCGCCCCGGCGCGCUGCGUAUUUAGCGGGAUCCCGGCGGGAAUCGGCCUUUCCCUUUCCGAGGGAGCCGGAGCUGGAUCGGCCGCGCCUGCCCGCCUCCAGCCGGGGUGCGUGCCUCGGCAGAAAGUGAAGCUCAAGAUGAGUUUGUUGCUGGCUUUGGGAAUCCUCAGUCUGGACUCUGCCAUGCCUUGCAAGCAGAAAGAUGCCACGUGAAUUCUGGAGCUACAGAAGUUCUGUGACAUCAGAUGACCACCACCACCUCCCAGCCUUGUGUGUCCACAUAGGGCCAACAGGAGAGUCCACUACCCACUUGUGGAAGUGUGGGUGUUUAAGGAGCUUGAAAACAGCAGCCUGGAAUGUGGAAUUCUAAUGCACUUGGAAAUGCUUCCAUUGUCCUUCCUGCUUGUCAGAAAUCCUGCUUGGUUCCAUAGUGCAGCAGGGAGUAGCUGUUCACUGAAAAUGAAUAAUCCUGGAAUGAAAUGCAGGGUAGAAUGUCUCUCUAGAAAGAGAAGCAGCCUGCUGGGCAGUCUGAGAUCUUAGUAUCAAUUUUGAGUGUAUCAAAUAAAUGGAUCAAAAGUGAAUAAGGCAAAGACUAAAAUGUGAGAAAACUUGUGUUGUCUAAAUGAGCGUUUACAGUGUCAAUAGUGGGUAUGAAUAAAAUCUUGGAUUUCUGUU